RNAcentral lists this ribosomal RNA (483 nucleotides) under uncultured bacterium. RNAcentral describes it as "partial 16S ribosomal RNA". It matches the Rfam family "Bacterial small subunit ribosomal RNA", at positions 30 to 507 of the family's 1533-position model. The record is from RNAcentral.
UUGAACGCUGGCGGCAGGCCUAACACAUGCAAGUCGAGUGGAUGAAGGGAGCUUGCUCCUGGAUUCAGCGGCGGACGGGUGAGUAAUGCCUAGGAAUCUGCCUGGUAGUGGGGGAUAACGUCCGGAAACGGGCGCUAAUACCGCAUACGUCCUGAGGGAGAAAGUGGGGGAUCUUCGGACCUCACGCUAUCAGAUGAGCCUAGGUCGGAUUAGCUAGUUGGUGGGGUAAAGGCCUACCAAGGCGACGAUCCGUAACUGGUCUGAGAGGAUGAUCAGUCACACUGGAACUGAGACACGGUCCAGACUCCUACGGGAGGCAGCAGUGGGGAAUAUUGGACAAUGGGCGAAAGCCUGAUCCAGCCAUGCCGCGUGUGUGAAGAAGGUCUUCGGAUUGUAAAGCACUUUAAGUUGGGAGGAAGGGCAGUAAGUUAAUACCUUGCUGUUUUGACGUUACCAACAGAAUAAGCACCGGCUAACUUCGUG